This 1667-nucleotide long non-coding RNA is filed under the name Brassica napus (rape). RNAcentral's name for it is "long non-coding RNA (BNAP_LNC012492)". The record is from RNAcentral. Lineage: Eukaryota; Viridiplantae; Streptophyta; Magnoliopsida; Brassicales; Brassicaceae.
UUGAUCUUGUUCUGUCUCUCUCUCUCUCUCUCUUUCUCAAGAAACGAUGGCGUACUUUUCAGAUGUCGCUCAUAUCGCAAGAAGUAAAGACCUUGAAGGAAGUAUUGAAUAGUGUCGCUGCUCAUAUAUACGAUGCGAAGCUUUCCUCUCACGCCUCGGCUCAUUACCAAAACAAAUGCCUUGUUGCGGCGCUCUCUUCAGAUCAGAGUCUAAAUCCCAUCUUAAUCACUUGAAGUCAGGUAUAUAUUCUAUUUCUAUUAUCAUCUCUCUUUUAUUCUUUAGAAUAAACAUAAAAAUUAAAAAUUAAAAAGAUUUCAAACUUUUUUUAGGAGAAAUUUUGGUGUAUUGUUUUGAUUAAUUAUGAAAACUCUAAGAUGCAUGAUGUGAAAACUAUUCGAUCCAUAUGGCCAUUCAGUUGAUUUAUCAAUUGGACGUAAGAGAUUGUAUGAUUGUUUUUGUCUUCAUGGAUUGUAUUCAUUUAGUUUAAUUUCUAAAUUGAUCACUCACAAUAUCAAAAUUACUCUUAAAAAUUGUUUUCUCAAAAUAAAUGUUUUUGUUUUUGUUUUCAAACCUUAAAGGGGGAAUUUCGAUGUUAUAUGAUUGAUUAUGAAAUUUCUAUUAUCAUCUCUCUUUUUUUUUUGAAUAAACAUAAAAAAAAUUAAAAAGAUUUCAAACUUUUUUUAAGAGAAAUUUUGGUAUAUUGUUUUGAUUAAUUAUGAAAACUUUAAGAUGCAUGAUGUGAAAACUAUUCGAUCCAUAUGGCCAUUCAGUUGAUUUAUCAAUUGGACGUAAGAGAUUGUAUGAUUGUUUUUGUCUUCACGGAUUGUAUUCAUUUAGUUUAAUUUCUAAAUUGAUCACUCACAAUAUCAAAAUUACUCUUAAAAAUUGUUUUCUCAAAAUAAAUGAUUUUUUUUUGUUUUCAAAUCUCAAAGGGGGAAUUUCGAUGUUAUAUGAUUGAUUAUGAAAAGUUAAGUUGAAUUACAUGAUGUGAAAACUACUUGGGUCAUGAUAUCCAGUCAUUUUGUUUGAUAGUCUGUUCGUUUGGUUUUUACAUUUGUAUUCACUUAGUUUUGAUUGAUCUUCUAUGACAUCGAAAUUUCUCCUUUUUGUGUAUUUUAAGGUUUUUUUUUCUAAACUUUGAUUGUAUAUAAUUAAAAUGUGGCACAUGUUGCGUGUUAAAACCUUAAUGAAAGAAACCCAUAUAUCAAACACUAACUCUGAGAGUUUAAUAAUUGUUUCGAGGGAUCCAUCGGAGGAAGUUAACAGCAGCAGGAUGGCAUUUGGACUCCUUGAAGUAGAAGAAGCUGAUAUAUAGGUUGAUAGCCAGGAAAGCCCAACUGCUGACCCGAAGCCCACUUGAUAAUUGCAUCCUCUAAAGAGAAGCAGUGGGAGAAUCCAUCGCGAAAGACGGCCCAGAAAUAACAAUUAUGAAAACCCAGAGAAAAAGAAUACUAGGAUAGUGAACCUAGUAGACAGUGAGAAUUUUUUUUUCUUCUUAAAAGUGUAAGAUGAAAAAGUAAUGUUUUUGUGUUGACAAAAAAAAAGUGAUGUUUUUUUGUAAAGCUUUUAGUUUUCACAUUAAUCUUUUAUUUAUAGUUUGAAAAUUUUAUAGUUUUUUAUACUAUGUGUUUUAUAGUGAGUUACCUUAAGAAAAGUUUGUAUUGACA